AACGCACCUUGCACCUAGGGCGUAAGCUCUAGGUAUGCCUGUUUGAGAAUCGCAAACAUCCUCAACCUUGGUCUAGGUUGGACUUGGCCAACUCCGUUGGCUGGAAUGCAGUAGGCUGUGCCCGCUUGCGGUGCUAGACAUUGUGUGCCAGAGCGUCACGAUGCGGCUAGCAUAUUCAACGCGACCGGUGCUUAAGCCUUUCUACUCUAUUAUUGAUCUCAAAUCAGGCAAGGCUACCCGCUGAACUUAA
Molecule: unclassified non-coding RNA, 250 nt
Filed under: uncultured fungus
Lineage: Eukaryota; Fungi
Description: partial contains 5.8S rRNA and ITS2
Source: RNAcentral